This 968-nucleotide ribosomal RNA is filed under the name Psychrobacter sp. Its description in RNAcentral is "bacterial SSU rRNA". It matches the Rfam family "Bacterial small subunit ribosomal RNA", at positions 100 to 1064 of the family's 1533-position model. The record is from RNAcentral. Lineage: Bacteria; Pseudomonadati; Pseudomonadota; Gammaproteobacteria; Moraxellales; Moraxellaceae.
GACGGGUGAGUAACACUUAGGAAUCUACCUAGUAGUGGGGGAUAGCUCGGGGAAACUCGAAUUAAUACCGCAUACGUCCUACGGGAGAAAGGGGGCAGUUUACUGCUCUCGCUAUUAGAUGAGCCUAAGUCGGAUUAGCUAGUUGGUGGGGUAAAGGCCUACCAAGGCGACGAUCUGUAGCUGGUCUGAGAGGAUGAUCAGCCACACCGGGACUGAGACACGGCCCGGACUCCUACGGGAGGCAGCAGUGGGGAAUAUUGGACAAUGGGGGAAACCCUGAUCCAGCCAUGCCGCGUGUGUGAAGAAGGCCUUUUGGUUGUAAAGCACUUUAAGCAGUGAAGAAGACCUAACGGUUAAUACCCGUUAGCGAUGACAUUAGCUGCAGAAUAAGCACCGGCUAACUCUGUGCCAGCAGCCGCGGUAAUACAGAGGGUGCAAGCGUUAAUCGGAAUUACUGGGCGUAAAGCGAGCGUAGGUGGCUUGAUAAGUCAGAUGUGAAAUCCCCGGGCUUAACCUGGGAACUGCAUCUGAUACUGUUAAGCUAGAGUAGGUGAGAGGGAAGUAGAAUUCCAGGUGUAGCGGUGAAAUGCGUAGAGAUCUGGAGGAAUACCGAUGGCGAAGGCAGCUUCCUGGCAUCAUACUGACACUGGAGGUUCGAAAGCGUGGGUAGCAAACAGGAUUAGAUACCCUGGUAGUCCACGCCGUAAACGAUGUCUACUAAUCGUUGGGUCCCUUGAGGAAUUAAUGACGCAGCUAACGCAAUAAGUAGACCGCCCGGGGGAAUACGGCCGCAAGGUUAAAACUCAAAUGAAUUGACGGGGGCCCGCACAAGCGGUGGAGCCAUGUGGUUUAAUUCGAUGCAACGCGAAGAACCUUACCUGGUCUUGACAUACACAGAAUCUUGUAGAGAUACGAGAGUGCCUUCGGGAAUUGUGAUACAGGUGCUGCAUGGCUGUCGUCACCUCCUG